UGAGAGUGGAAGAGGUGAUCUUCAAACUUAAAGAGACGAAAUAAGCUGAAAGUGCAAUUUCUUCAACCCUUAGCCUCUACGCCUGAAUCAUGAUCUUGUAGCAGAACUUGAGAAUAUGCCAGGGACGCUUUUAAGUAUAUUCAUGGAGAUGAUGAUGAAAUUAUGGACUAAUUUGGAGUAUGAUAAUAACUUAAAAACCAUUUCAAGAAGUGUAUUAGAAAAAGAAUAUGAGCCAUAAAGGCAUUACACUUUAGCAUGAUUAGGACGUAUGAAGUGUAGUCCUUUAACUUUCAUUAUAUUCUUCAUUAUUAGACGGGUUUGUACUAUAUUUAUUUUUGUUAUUAAUAAAGUAUGCUACCUAAAAUGAUGUAAUUAGGAAAAGAAUUAACUCAAUGAUAAAAAAUUUGAUCGCUAAGAAAAAGUUGAUUGACGUGAUUCAACACGAUCCAAUAUGAAUAAUGCCUAUGGGUCGAGUUCGACCAUUAAAAUUUUCAUCGUUAGAUAAUGUGGAAUUUAUUAACAAAGCUCAGCAUUUAAAAAUGAAUGCAUUAAGAAG
This 556-nucleotide long non-coding RNA is filed under the name Olea europaea subsp. europaea. Lineage: Eukaryota; Viridiplantae; Streptophyta; Magnoliopsida; Lamiales; Oleaceae. The record is from RNAcentral.